Molecule: long non-coding RNA, 522 nt
Filed under: Homo sapiens (human)
Lineage: Eukaryota; Metazoa; Chordata; Mammalia; Primates; Hominidae
Description: PREDICTED lncRNA (TCONS_00168405)
Source: RNAcentral
AUUAUCAAGUGCUUAUUCCAACCCACAUGGUUUCUAAGGGAGUCACAUGAAGUGACCUCACAUCAUUCUCACAGCAUCCUGCCAGGCAGAUAUUGAUGUAAUGCCUACCGUGUUCCAGACACGCUGCGAGGCCCUGGGGAUGCAGCCACAAUCCCAACAGAUCUGAUGCCUGCUCUCAUGGAACUGACUUUGCACUGGGGGGAGGCCAACUCCACGAAAACAGAAACUGGAUGACACAUUGGAGGGAGAGCAGUAAAAGGAGCAAGCAGAGAGCAAGAACAACAGUGUUGCCAUGGGGCGGGUGGGCCCGCUGUAGCCAGGGAGGGCCUCUCCGAAGGUAUAACAGUGCCUUGCUGAAUUCACUCCCACGACCCCUCCAUGCUUGGGUCAGGAUGCAUGAACCUGAAAGCACAUGAAGUCCUCUCUGGGAUCUUCUGCCUUUGGUCCUAACUGUUCUCAGGGGGAAGCGACUCUGAAGGCCAAGAGGUAAGUUUCCUAAGCAACCGGGCCUGCUGGUCUUGA